UCCGACGAGAAUAGCUUUGAAUCCGACGGUGGUGAUGCUCCCAGCCAUGGUAUAAAUAGCACAGUCGGUCGAAGGUUAAAAGGCGCCGAAGAAGAAAAUUGUAUCACGGCGAUGAAGAAAAGAAAUCGAGCAAUAGAUUAAACGCUAUCGUUUUCAAUUUGCUUUGUCCACAUAAGAAAAAAAAAGCUGACAUGUAUUAAUUGUUUUAAUUUGAUAGGCUAGCCAUUUUAAUUGAUGUGUCAUUUUCUCCUUCAAUACAAAAUCUGAUGUGUCAAGCAAGGAGAGCAACACAUUGAAGUUUUAUU
Non-coding RNA from Camelina sativa (false flax), 305 nucleotides. The record is from RefSeq and is a predicted model, not a curated record. NCBI's taxonomy places the organism in Eukaryota, Viridiplantae, Streptophyta, Magnoliopsida, Brassicales, Brassicaceae.